GAUGAACGCUGGCGGCGUGCCUAAUACAUGCAAGUCGAGCGAACAGACGAGGAGCUUGCUCCUCUGACGUUAGCGGCGGACGGGUGAGUAACACGUGGAUAACCUACCUAUAAGACUGGGAUAACUUCGGGAAACCGGAGCUAAUACCGGAUAAUAUAUUGAACCGCAUGGUUCAAUAGUGAAAGACGGUUUUGCUGUCACUUAUAGAUGGAUCCGCGCCGCAUUAGCUAGUUGGUAAGGUAACGGCUUACCAAGGCAACGAUGCGUAGCCGACCUGAGAGGGUGAUCGGCCACACUGGAACUGAGACACGGUCCAGACUCCUACGGGAGACAGCAGUAGGGAAUCUUCCGCAAUGGGCGAAAGCUUGACGGAGCAACGCCGCGUGAGUGAUGAAGGUCUUCGGAUCGUAAAACUCUGUUAUUAGGGAGGAACAAAUGUGUAAGUAACUAUGCACGUCUUGACGGUACCUAAUCAGAAAGCCACGGCUAACUACGUG
RNAcentral lists this ribosomal RNA (497 nucleotides) under uncultured bacterium. RNAcentral's name for it is "partial 16S ribosomal RNA". It matches the Rfam family "Bacterial small subunit ribosomal RNA", at positions 28 to 507 of the family's 1533-position model. The record is from RNAcentral.